UGCUCAGCCUUCUUCACAGUCCAACUCUCACAUCCAUAUGUGACCACUGUCUUUACUGGAUGCGGGCAAAAAGCAUCCUGGCAUAAGAACAUCUCAAGUUAAUGUAUUCGAUAGCUUUCUUUAUUUUUGUACUUUAUAGAAAUAGGGUCAAACAUAUUCUUUCAAAAUUCUGUGAUUCUUUCCCAAUUUUUGCUCAAAAUGGCGUUUGUCAGAUUUAUGUGAUUAGUAAGUGAGUAGCCCAUGUUCUGAAGGUAAGCAGUGUGCUUUUGAGGGUUGUUUGCGCUGUUGCCAGUGUUCCAUGUUUUGCAGGAUGAGGUGUGACUACUCCCCGGCUCCUAGACGCCCAUGCACAAGUUUCCUCUACGACUUACCCCUAACUGUUGAUCUGCCCUGUCAUAGGGCAGGUACGCAUCCCUUCAUUAGACGCUGUCAGAUCCCUCGCUGGACUCUCCCCGAGUGGUUGUGCCAAAUGAGACUCCCACACUCGGAAGAUUCACAUGGCUCCACAUUCUUAUCUUGGCUUUCAUGUGCAUUUGAGAUUAAGUAACAUUUCCUUUCUUUGUAAUUUGAGAUUCCUUGUUUACAAACACCUCUCUGUGCCUUUUGCUCAUUUUUCCAUUGGACGGCUUAUAUUUUCCAUGUCAGAUUGGAGCUCUUUCAUACUUUGAAUACUAACUCUUUGUUGGUUACAGUUGCUACGAAUACUCUGUGUGACUUGUCUUUGCUCUCACAGUGUCUUCUGAUAACGGUUCUUAAUGCAACAUGAUCUAAUGGAUCAAUUUUUCCCAUAUGGUGGAUUUUUUUGUUUUGUUUUGUUUUGUUUUCCUGCUUGUUCCCUACUUUACACGGGAACAGACAGUGGUUCAGAUGUUGGGUAAUCUCAUGCCCAGGUUCCAACCCAGUUUCCUCCUCCUGGGGAUUUACCCACACAAGUCAUCUCCCAAGGCCACCGUGAGUCCAAAGACACCUGGGCUCCGCAGGUCCAGUCGACUCCCCACCCUCAGGCACUGUCACCAGCUCCUUCUUCAGAGGCUGAGAGGAAGAACAAAGAUUUGGAUUCAACAAGGAAAGCUGGGAGGGCAUGGCCUCCUCUCUCCUGAGGGCUCUUGCCCCUGUGUCUUGAAGAGUAAACCGCAUGACCUCAGUUAAAGGAAGGAAGAGAGGGUGAAAGGAAAGAAGACAGGAAGGAAAAGGAAAGGAGGUCCCCCGCAGUCCCAUCGUCCCCACACGCACCUCCUUCCGGUCACGUGCAGGCCUGUGCCACUUGGUGUACUUACUAUUUUGUGCUCCUUUGUCACUUCUACGUUUGUUCUUGUGAAACAUACUUAAUUUUUAACAGCCAUCCAAGGCACCAUUGAGUGGAUAGAUGUGCCCGAACGCAGCCAUACUUCCAGUAUUGGACAGACAGGAGGCUAUUUUCAGAGUCAGCCUAGAUGAUUCAGUCAAACCAGUAGUGGUUAGUUUUAAUCAUUAUUUCUUUUUUCUACCUUUUAACUAUUUCCUUAAGCUACAUUCUCAGAAAUGGGAUUUCUGGGUAAAAGGGGAUGGAUAUUUUUGUUGCUUUUAAAAGAUAGUGGCAGAUCUCUUUUCAAAAAUGUUGUGCUAAUUUGUAAAACCCAAAAUAAAUUUCUUGCAAUUUUUCAAAGGGAAUAGUGCAGCAAGAAAAGUUCCCCAGAAUAUCCCUCCAGUGCCUUGGAGGGCUCUUUCCUUAUAGAGUUUCAGGAAGGUUCUAAUCAGCAGCUCUAUUUUUGUGAGCUCAGGUUGUGGUAGACAGGAGGCUGUGUGGCUAUCAGGACUGAUAAGGGUAUCUGGGGACUGUUUGUGGCCAGUUUAAAUGCCUACUAUGUAGCGCUGUAGUCUGGGAACCUGGUGAGAGUGGCAGGCUCUCUUUGUAGAGACUCCGUUUCCACUCUCCCAAAGCUUGCACUUCAGGUGUGGAAUGACACGUCUGAGGGCACUGCCAACUGGAUGGGCAGCCUUGCUCACAUGGUGGUCUUGCGUUGUUCUCUCAAGAAAGUAAAGGCCUGGGUGAUUGUCGCCGGGCUCAACUGUACCCCAAGAGGGUGUAAGUGCUCAGGCCAACAGCCCAGGUAGGGAGGCUGAACCCUGAGGAUCAGAGCUGUUCUGGGCUCAGCUCAGGUUCCCUCCCUGGGAACCAGUUGGAGGAUCCAGGCAGCAUCAAAGCCCAGGGAGCAGUGAGUGGGUGCAGGGAUGUCCCUGCCCUCCUGCCAAAGCCUUUCCCUCUGGCUGCUGGGCCU
Molecule: long non-coding RNA, 2258 nt
Filed under: Capra hircus (goat)
Lineage: Eukaryota; Metazoa; Chordata; Mammalia; Artiodactyla; Bovidae
Description: lncRNA (ENSCHIG00010010510.1)
Source: RNAcentral